Molecule: ribosomal RNA, 465 nt
Filed under: uncultured bacterium
Lineage: Bacteria
Description: partial 16S ribosomal RNA
Rfam family: Bacterial small subunit ribosomal RNA
Source: RNAcentral
GAUGAACGCUGGCGGCGUGCUUAACACAUGCAAGUCGAACGAUGAAGCCCAGCUUGCUGGGUGGAUUAGUGGCGAACGGGUGAGUAACACGUGAGUAACCUGCCCUUAACUCUGGGAUAAGCCUGGGAAACUGGGUCUAAUACCGGAUAGGAGCGUCCACCGCAUGGUGGGUGUUGGAAAGAUUUAUCGGUUUUGGAUGGACUCGCGGCCUAUCAGCUUGUUGGUGAGGUAAUGGCUCACCAAGGCGACGACGGGUAGCCGGCCUGAGAGGGUGACCGGCCACACUGGGACUGAGACACGGCCCAGACUCCUACGGGAGGCAGGAGUGGGGAAUAUGGCACAAUGGGCGCAAGCCUGAUGGAGCGACGCCGCGUGAGGGAUGACGGCCUUCGGGUUGUAAACCUCUUUCAGUAGGGAAGAAGCGAAAGUGACGGUACCUGCAGAAGAAGCACCGGCUAACUACGG